CUGCUAUCGGAUGAUACUAAGCCAUGCGAGUCUUUGUAGUAAUACAAGGCAGACGGCUCAGUAACACGUAGUCAACCUACCCUAUGGGCAAGAAUAAUCUCGGGAAACUGGGCAUAAUUCUUGAUAGAUCAUAAUGCCUGGAAUGGUUUAUGGUUAAAAUGAUUCAUCGCCAUAGGAUGGGACUGCGGCCUAUCAGCUUGUUGGUGAGGUAAUGGCCCACCAAGGCGAUUACAGGUACGGGCUCUGAGAGGAGAAGCCCGGAGAUGGGUACUGAGACACGGACCCAGGCCCUAUGGGGCGCAGCAGGCGAGAAAACUUUGCAAUGUGCGAAAGCACGACAAGGUUAAUCCGAGUGAUUUCUGCUAAAGAAAUCUUUUGCCAGUCAUAAAACCACUGGUGAAUAAGGGGUGGGCAAGUUCUGGUGUCAGCCGCCGCGGUAAAACCAGCACCUCAAGUGGUCAGGAUGAUUAUUGGGCCUAAAGCAUCCGUAGCCGGCUUUGUUAGUUUUCGGUUAAAUCCAUGUGCUCAACGCAUGGGCUGCCGAAAAUACUGCAUAGCUAGGGAGUGGGAGAGGUAGACGGUACUCAGUAGGAAGGGGUAAAAUCCUUUGAUCUAUUGAUGACCACCUGUGGCGAAGGCGGUCUACCAGAACACGUUCGACGGUGAGGGAUGAAAGCUGGGGGAGCAAACCGGAUUAGAUACCCGGGUAGUCCCAGCUGUAAACGAUGCAGACUCGAUGAUGCAUUGGCAUAAUAGCCAUUGCAGUGUCUCAGGGAAGCCGUUAAGUCUGCCGCCUGGGAAGUACGUACGCAAGUAUGAAACUUAAAGGAUUGGCGGGG
Molecule: ribosomal RNA, 839 nt
Filed under: uncultured marine group I thaumarchaeote
Lineage: Archaea; Thermoproteati; Nitrososphaerota
Description: SSU rRNA
Rfam family: Archaeal small subunit ribosomal RNA
Source: RNAcentral